RNAcentral lists this ribosomal RNA (772 nucleotides) under uncultured Streptococcus sp. RNAcentral describes it as "bacterial SSU rRNA". It matches the Rfam family "Bacterial small subunit ribosomal RNA", at positions 30 to 785 of the family's 1533-position model. Lineage: Bacteria; Bacillati; Bacillota; Bacilli; Lactobacillales; Streptococcaceae. The record is from RNAcentral.
CGAACGCUGGCGGCGUGCCUAAUACAUGCAAGUAGAACGCUGAAGAGAGGAGCUUGCUCUUCUUGGAUGAGUUGCGAACGGGUGAGUAACGCGUAGGUAACCUGCCUGGUAGCGGGGGAUAACUAUUGGAAACGAUAGCUAAUACCGCAUAAAAUGGAUUAUCGCAUGAUAAUCCAUUGAAAGGUGCAAAUGCAUCACUACCAGAUGGACCUGCGUUGUAUUAGCUAGUUGGUGGGGUAACGGCUCACCAAGGCGACGAUACAUAGCCGACCUGAGAGGGUGAUCGGCCACACUGGGACUGAGACACGGCCCAGACUCCUACGGGAGGCAGCAGUAGGGAAUCUUCGGCAAUGGACGGAAGUCUGACCGAGCAACGCCGCGUGAGUGAAGAAGGUUUUCGGAUCGUAAAGCUCUGUUGUAAGAGAAGAACGAGUGUGAGAGUGGAAAGUUCACACUGUGACGGUAUCUUACCAGAAAGGGACGGCUAACUACGUGCCAGCAGCCGCGGUAAUACGUAGGUCCCGAGCGUUGUCCGGAUUUAUUGGGCGUAAAGCGAGCGCAGGCGGUUAGAUAAGUCUGAAGUUAAAGGCUGUGGCUUAACCAUAGUACGCUUUGGAAACUGUUUAACUUGAGUGCAAGAGGGGAGAGUGGAAUUCCAUGUGUAGCGGUGAAAUGCGUAGAUAUAUGGAGGAACACCGGUGGCGAAAGCGGCUCUCUGGCUUGUAACUGACGCUGAGGCUCGAAAGCGUGGGGAGCAAACAGGAUUAGAUAC